Molecule: ribosomal RNA, 40 nt
Filed under: Pyxine sorediata
Lineage: Eukaryota; Fungi; Ascomycota; Lecanoromycetes; Caliciales; Caliciaceae
Description: partial 28S ribosomal RNA
Source: RNAcentral
GAUUGACCUCGGAUCAGGUAGGGAUACCCGCUGAAUCUAA